AUGUUGGCCCCUCUGUCUUUAGUGACUGCACAGAAGAGAACGGUGAGAGCAGAGCUGUGGCUAAUGCGAGGACACAGCAGUCCUGCCCUGCCCGUUGGCCAGCGUGAUGACAAACUCCUCUCAGUUCUCCACGGAGAGCAGCGGGAGCUGAAGUGGCUCUUUCGGGAGAGAUGAAGCCUCCACAGCCAGAGCAGUCUGGAUAGUUUUAGCACACGCCAGGAAGGCCUGCAUUGUGACUGCAGGUAAAUCACUUGCUGCGUUUGUGCCCCUGCUU
This 274-nucleotide long non-coding RNA is filed under the name Fukomys damarensis (Damara mole-rat). Its description in RNAcentral is "lncRNA (ENSFDAG00000030195.1)". The record is from RNAcentral. Lineage: Eukaryota; Metazoa; Chordata; Mammalia; Rodentia; Bathyergidae.